Molecule: ribosomal RNA, 539 nt
Filed under: uncultured bacterium
Lineage: Bacteria
Description: bacterial SSU rRNA
Rfam family: Bacterial small subunit ribosomal RNA
Source: RNAcentral
AAUAGAUACCCCGGUAGUCCACGCCGUAAACGAUGAAUACUAGGUGUGGGGGUUGUCAUGACCUCCGUGCCGCCGCUAACGCAUUAAGUAUUCCGCCUGGGGAGUACGGUCACAAGAUUAAAACUCAAAGGAAUUGACAGGGGCCCGCACAAGCAGCGGAGCAUGUGGUUUAAUUCGAAGCAACGCGAAGAACCUUACCUAGACUUGACAUCUCCUGAAUUACUCUUAAUCGAGGAAGUCCCUUCGGGGACAGGAAGACAGGUGGUGCAUGGUUGUCGUCAGCUCGUGUCGUGAGAUGUUGGGUUAAGUCCCGCAACGAGCGCAACCCUUAUUGUUAGUUGCUACCAUUAAGUUGAGCACUCUAGCGAGACUGCCCGGGUUAACCGGGAGGAAGGUGGGGAUGACGUCAAAUCAUCAUGCCCCUUAUGUCUAGGGCUACACACGUGCUACAAUGGCUGGUACAGAGAGAUGCUAAACCGUGAGGUGGAGCCAAAUUUAAAACCCAGUCUCAGUUCGGAUUGAGGCUGAAACUCGCCUAC